GACGAACGCUGGCGGCGUGCCUAACACAUGCAAGUCGAACGGGGUAAAGACUUCGGUUUUUACUUAGUGGCGAACGGGUGAGUAACGCGUGAGAAACCUGCCUUUCAGUGGGGGACAACAGUUGGAAACGACUGCUAAUACCGCAUAAUGUUAUUUGGGGGCAUCCUUGAAUAACCAAAGAUUUAUUGCUGAAAGAUGGUCUCGCGUCUGAUUAGCUAGUUGGUAAGGUAACGGCUUACCAAGGCAACGAUCAGUAGCCGACCUGAGAGGGUGACCGGCCACAUUGGGACUGAGACACGGCCCAAACUCCUACGGGAGGCAGCAGUGGGGAAUAUUGGGCAAUGGGGGGAAACCCUGACCCAGCAACGCCGCGUGAAGGAAGAAGGCCUCGGGUUGUAAACGUUACUUUUACCUAGGGACGAAGAACGUGACGGUACCGUGGAGAAAAGACAACGG
Molecule: ribosomal RNA, 456 nt
Filed under: uncultured bacterium
Lineage: Bacteria
Description: bacterial SSU rRNA
Rfam family: Bacterial small subunit ribosomal RNA
Source: RNAcentral